UACGAAGGGGGCGAGCGUUGUUCGGAAUUACUGGGCGUAAAGGGCGCGUAGGCGGCCGAUCAAGUUAGAUGUGAAAGUCCUGGGCUUAACCUGGGGACUGCAUUUGAUACUGAUUGGCUUGAAUUCGGGAGAGGAUAGCGGAAUUCCCAGUGUAGAGGUGAAAUUCGUAGAUAUUCGCAAGAACACCAGUGGCGAAGGCGGCUCACUGGCCCGAUACUGACGCUGAGGUGCGAAAGCGUGGGGAGCAAACAGG
RNAcentral lists this ribosomal RNA (253 nucleotides) under uncultured bacterium. RNAcentral describes it as "partial 16S ribosomal RNA". It matches the Rfam family "Bacterial small subunit ribosomal RNA", at positions 524 to 776 of the family's 1533-position model. The record is from RNAcentral.